RNAcentral lists this small RNA (125 nucleotides) under Marmota monax (woodchuck). The record is from RNAcentral. Lineage: Eukaryota; Metazoa; Chordata; Mammalia; Rodentia; Sciuridae.
GCUGGGUACAGUAGUGCAUGCCUGUAAUCCCAGUGGCUCAGGAAGCUGAGGCAGGAGGAUCCUGAGUUCAAAUCUAGCCUCAGCAAUAGCAAGGUACUAAGCAACUCAGUGAGACCCUGUCUCUA